Manis javanica (Malayan pangolin) is the source of this 573-nucleotide non-coding RNA. NCBI's taxonomy places the organism in Eukaryota, Metazoa, Chordata, Mammalia, Pholidota, Manidae. The record is from RefSeq and is a predicted model, not a curated record.
CACCGGAAGUGUGGCGGCCCCGCUUCUGCUGCGCCCACGCCUGGCCGGGAGCCUCGACGCUCCGGGCCGCUGGGAAGCAGUUGGAGGGUGAACUCCGCGGGCAGUACGUGCGUAAUGCAGGUGAAUGCACGGAAAACCCAAGAAGGGGAGCUCGAGGACGGAAAGCCUCAGCUUACCUAUUUGUGGCUACCCAGAAAGCUUUUGACUCUAAGGAGAUAGGGAAGAACAGGUUUUGCUGAUGUGACUCUCGCUACUUUAACCGAAGGGAAAACCGUACGUGGCCCACAUCACGUUUCUAGUACCAUUUAGGUCAUUUCACCUCACACGCCCUCCCAACUCUCUGCUGAUUGAAAUCCUCUUCCACAAGGCCAGAUUCAAGCUCUUCCUGCUCCUAGGCUCCAAACAUCACUCCUCUGAACAGCCAUUUCCUCGAUUGUAACCCAACAUGUCUUACCAGAUAAUCAGGAGCUUGGACAAGAAACAUGGCCUCUAUCAGUCAGCCAGUCUUGCUUGUAGCUUUUACCAUGUCUGUGUGUUUGUGGCUCUGUCUGCUGCUGCUGAUAAAUCAUUCUU